This 818-nucleotide small RNA is filed under the name Symblepharis dendrophila. RNAcentral's name for it is "eukaryotic LSU rRNA". The stretch from base 304 to 456 matches the Rfam family "5.8S ribosomal RNA". Lineage: Eukaryota; Viridiplantae; Streptophyta; Bryopsida; Dicranales; Rhabdoweisiaceae. The record is from RNAcentral.
UUGCACACACAAAGUUGCAGCAAACCCCUUUGCGAACCUCAUGAUUGUCCCCCUUUGGCUCCGGUCGGGGCGGCUCUGCCGUCCCGGCCGGCCGGCCAGCCCAAGUCCCCGGGGGCUUGGGGCCCCCCUCCCUCCCGGGAGCGGGGUCUCAUCGCCCGGGGCGCUUGGUGUUUCCAAACCCGAUUGCGCAAUGCAUCAACACUUUCAACAUGACUGAGUAUAAGAAUCGGGGCACAUCAUCGGGUGGCUCUUGUUGACCGAGAGCCAUCCAGUGCCGCCCCCGAGUUGUAAUAAUCAAAAAACAACUCUCAGCAACGGAUAUCUUGGCUCUUGCAACGAUGAAGAACGCAGCGAAAUGCGAUACGUAGUGUGAAUUGCAGAAUUCCGCGAAUCAUCGAGUCUUUGAACGCAAGUUGCGCCCGAGGCUUGACCAAGGGCAUUUCUGCCAGAGCGUCACCGCGACACCCACCGAUCCACUCCGAGUGAGUGGACCGAGUGGAAGUGGCCAUCCGAAUGGGGCCGCCCCGGGACUUCGGUCCUCGGGGGUGGCAGAUUGGGUUGGCUGAAAUGGAGGGAAUUUGGCCGCCGUGGUGACACAGCCCGCGAUCAGGUGAUCCAGGCUCCGCCUUGGAACUCAAACGUGCGUCGGUUGUGGCUCCCAGUUGGCACUCGGAUUCCAAAGCAGGUCCCUCCCGCGACCGACACUCGGCUCCCGAGCCCGGUGGAAGGAGCGGGAGGAAAACGUCACGCAUCAGACCUCUGAUCAGAAAAGACUACCCGCUGAGUUUAAGCAUAUCACUAAGCGGAGGAGAAGAAAC